This 498-nucleotide ribosomal RNA is filed under the name uncultured bacterium. RNAcentral describes it as "bacterial SSU rRNA". It matches the Rfam family "Bacterial small subunit ribosomal RNA", at positions 28 to 526 of the family's 1533-position model. The record is from RNAcentral.
GAUGAACGCUGGCGGCGUGCUUAACACAUGCAAGUCGAACGAAGCAAUGUUGUGGAAGCCUUCGGGUGGAAACGACAUUGACUGAGUGGCGGACGGGUGAGUAACGCGUGGGUAACCUGCCUCAUACAGGGGGAUAACAGUUGGAAACGACUGCUAAUACCGCAUAAGACAGCAGCUUCGCAUGAAGCAGUUGUAAAAGAUUUAUUGGUAUGAGAUGGGCCCGCGUCUGAUUAGCUAGUUGGUAAGGUAAUGGCUUACCAAGGCAACGAUCAGUAGCCGGCUUGAGAGAGUGAACGGCCACAUUGGGACUGAGACACGGCCCAAACUCCUACGGGAGGCAGCAGUGGGGAAUAUUGCACAAUGGGGGAAACCCUGAUGCAGCGACGCCGCGUGAGUGAAGAAGUAAUUCGUUAUGUAAAGCUCUAUCAGCAGGGAAGAAAAUGACGGUACCUGACUAAGAAGCCCCGGCUAACUACGUGCCAGCCGCCGCCGUAACAC